This 71-nucleotide transfer RNA is filed under the name compost metagenome. RNAcentral's name for it is "tRNA-Gly". It matches the Rfam family "tRNA". From Rfam's summary of the family: Transfer RNA (tRNA) molecules are approximately 80 nucleotides in length. Their secondary structure includes four short double-helical elements and three loops (D, anti-codon, and T loops). Further hydrogen bonds mediate the characteristic L-shaped molecular structure. tRNAs have two regions of fundamental functional importance: the anti-codon, which is responsible for specific mRNA codon recognition, and the 3' end, to which the tRNAs corresponding amino acid is attached (by aminoacyl-tRNA synthetases). tRNAs cope with the degeneracy of the genetic code in two manners: having more than one tRNA (with a specific anti-codon) for a particular amino acid; and 'wobble' base-pairing, i.e. permitting non-standard base-pairing at the 3rd anti-codon position. The record is from RNAcentral.
GCAUCUGUAGUGUAGGGGUAUCAUGCAGCGUUGCCAUCGCUGCGACCCGGGUUCGAAUCCCGGCAGAUGCA